This 77-nucleotide ribosomal RNA is filed under the name Basidiobolus magnus. Its description in RNAcentral is "partial 28S ribosomal RNA". The record is from RNAcentral. Lineage: Eukaryota; Fungi; Basidiobolomycota; Basidiobolomycetes; Basidiobolales; Basidiobolaceae.
GCAGGAACUUGGAUGCGGGCGCAAGCCCAACUCUUAAUUCUUGAUCUCAAAUCAGGUAGGAUUACCCGCUGAACUUA